CUGACCCUGAGAGACGAAAGCGUGGGGAGCAAAACGGAUUAGAUACCCGUGUAGUCCACGCCCUGAACGAUGAAUGCUAAAUGUUCGGGGAUUCGACCCCCUGGGUGUCACAGCGAACGCGUUAAGCAUUCCGCCUGGGAAGUACGGCCGCAAGGCUAAAACUCAAAGGAAUAGACGGGGAUCCGCACAAGCGGUGGAGCGUCUGGUUUAAUUCGACAGUAAGCGUGGUACCUCACCAGGGUUUGACAUCCCUUGACAGCCUUGGAAACAAGGUUUCCUUCGGGCAAGGUGACAGGUGCUGCAUGGUCGUCGUCAGUUCGUGCCGUGAGGUGUUCCGUUAAGUCGGGAAACGAACGAAACCCCUAUUGCAUGUUACAAUUUCUCAUGCAAGACUGCCCGGAUAUACUGGGAGGAAGGUGGGGAUGACGUCAGAUCUGCAUGGUCCUUAUACCCUGGGCGACACAGGCGCUACAAUGGCAGAGACAAAGGGUUGCAAAACCGCAAGGUGAAGCUAAUCCCAAAAACUUUGUCUAAGUUCGGAUUGAAGGCUGCAAUUCGCCUUCAUGAAGCUGGAAUCGCUAGUAAUCGUGAAUCAGCCACGUCACGGUGUAUAUGUUCCCGGAUCUUGUACUCACCGCCCGUCACACCAAGAGACUUGGUAGCUCCCGAAGCGUCCCGU
Molecule: ribosomal RNA, 679 nt
Filed under: uncultured organism
Description: bacterial SSU rRNA
Rfam family: Bacterial small subunit ribosomal RNA
Source: RNAcentral